AUUGAACGCUGGCGGCAGGCCUAACACAUGCAAGUCGAACGAGGGGCGGACGGGAGAGUAAUGUCUGGGAAACUGCCUGAUGGAGGGGGAUAACUACUGGAAACGGUUGCUAAUACCGCAUACCAUCGGAUGUGCCCAGAUGGGAUUAGAUAGUAGGUGGGGUAAAGGGUCACCUAGGCGACGAUCCCUAGCUGGUCUGCGAGGAUGACAGGCUAAACUGGAACAGAGACACGGGCAAGACGCCUAGGGGAGGAAGCGGUGGGGAAGCUUGCACAAUGGGAGCAAGCCCGAUGGAGCCAUGCCGCGUGUAUGCAGAAGGCCUUAAGGUUGUAAAGUUCUUUCAGUGGGGAGGCGUUACCCGCAGAAGAAGCGCCGGCUAACUCCGUGCCAGCAGCCGCGGUAAUUC
Molecule: ribosomal RNA, 406 nt
Filed under: uncultured bacterium
Lineage: Bacteria
Description: partial 16S ribosomal RNA
Rfam family: Bacterial small subunit ribosomal RNA
Source: RNAcentral